RNAcentral lists this ribosomal RNA (253 nucleotides) under uncultured bacterium. RNAcentral describes it as "partial 16S ribosomal RNA". It matches the Rfam family "Bacterial small subunit ribosomal RNA", at positions 524 to 776 of the family's 1533-position model. The record is from RNAcentral.
UACGUAGGUGGCGAGCGUUGUCCGGAUUUACUGGGCGUAAAGAGCGCGCAGGCGGUCGUGCAAGUCGCGUGUGAAAGCCCCCGGCUCAACUGGGGAGGGUCACUUGAUACUGGUCGACUCGAAGGCAGGAGAGGGAGGUGGAAUUCCCGGUGUAGUGGUGAAAUGCGUAGAUAUCGGGAGGAACACCAGUGGCGAAGGCGACUUCCUGGCCUGUUCUUGACGCUGAGGCGCGAAAGCUAGGGGAGCAAACGGG